Non-coding RNA from Caenorhabditis elegans, 138 nucleotides. The record is from Ensembl. NCBI's taxonomy places the organism in Eukaryota, Metazoa, Nematoda, Chromadorea, Rhabditida, Rhabditidae.
ACCGGAGAGAGUUUAAUUAUAUGCAAAUGCGAAGUGCACCAUCAAAUAAAGAAUUCGGUCAUUCAAAGGAGGGGCGCAUUGGCGAAAAAAACGGAGAGGAAAUGUUUUGUGCAUCCUUUCCGAUGGGAUCAAUGAGCG